UGAGGAAUAUUGGGCAAUGCCCGCAAGGGUGACCCAGCAACGCCGCGUGGAGGAUGAAUGUCGUAAGAUUGUAAACUCCUGUUAGAGGGGAAGAAUAGUACCGGUUGGACCGGUAUAUGACUGUACCCUCAGAGAAAGCCCCGGCUAACUACGUGCCAGCAGCCGCGGUAAUACGUAGGGGGCAAGCGUUGUCCGGAUUUACUGGGUGUAAAGGGCGCGCAGGCGGGAUAAAAAGUCAGUGGUGAAAUCCUACAGCUUAACUGUAGAACUGCCUUUGAUACUUUUAUUCUUGAGUUCGGGAGAGAGAGACGGAAUUCCAGGUGUAGUGGUGAAAUACGUAGAUAUCUGGAAGAACACCAGUUGCGAAGGCGGUCUCUUGGUCCGACACUGACGCUGAGGCGCGAAAGCGUGGGGAGCAAACAG
RNAcentral lists this ribosomal RNA (423 nucleotides) under uncultured bacterium. RNAcentral's name for it is "bacterial SSU rRNA". It matches the Rfam family "Bacterial small subunit ribosomal RNA", at positions 355 to 775 of the family's 1533-position model. The record is from RNAcentral.